Molecule: ribosomal RNA, 455 nt
Filed under: uncultured bacterium
Lineage: Bacteria
Description: partial 16S ribosomal RNA
Rfam family: Bacterial small subunit ribosomal RNA
Source: RNAcentral
GAUGAACGCUGGCGGCAUGCCUAAUACAUGCAAGUCGUGCGGAAACACUUCGGGUGUCGAGCGGCGGACGGGUGAGUAACACGUUAGUAUCUACCCCAAACUGAGGGAUAAGCCCGAGAAAUCGGGUCUAAUACCGCAUAUGGUCUUUGGAUUAAAGCCUUCGGGCGGUUUGGGAGGAGCUUGCGUCUGAUUAGCUAGUUGGUAAGGUAAUGGCUUACCAAGGCUACGAUCAGUAGCUGGUCUGAAAGGAUGAUCAGCCACACUGGAACUGAGACACGGUCCAGACUCCUACGGGAGGCAGCAGUAGGGAAUUUUCCACAAUGGGCGAAAGCCUGAUGGAGCAAUGCCGCGUGCAGGAUGAAUGCCUUCGGGUUGUAAACUGCUUUUAUGAGGGAAGAUUAUGACGGUACCUCAUGAAUAAGCCUCGGCUAACUCCGUGCCAGCAGCCGCCGUAA